AACGGUAUAGUUUAAUUAAGAGUACGCGCUCUGCAAGCGCGAGGUGGAGUAAUUCUUGCUGUUG
RNAcentral lists this transfer RNA (64 nucleotides) under Holostephanus sp. FJ-2023. RNAcentral's name for it is "tRNA-Ala". Lineage: Eukaryota; Metazoa; Platyhelminthes; Trematoda; Diplostomida; Cyathocotylidae. The record is from RNAcentral.